GAAAAAUCAAAGGUUUUUACAGAAGAAAUUACACAUAAAGAAAAAAAGGUGGAAGCAUCUAUGUAAAAAACAGCAACUGUCUUUAAAAACUGUUUUUGAAAAACCUUGUUUCAUUUUUGGAGAUUGAGGAAGUUGAUCUUUGACAGGAGAAAGAAGGCAUAAAGAAACAGGAAAACAGGGGAAAUGGAUAGAAACAAGUUAAUGUUUGCAUUGUCAUAACUGAGAAAGAGUUUACAGCAUAAAAGACAUUUACCAGAGGAUAACCCCUAGACAUGAUUUUGACCUUGUUUGGCCACAAUUUCCUCUUCUGUGAAGUAAGGAAGUUGGCUUUGAGGAUCUCUGACAGUUCCAGGCAUUGUGAGUCAAUGUCUUUCAUUGAGAGCAGAAAGGAAGAAUCGUACACUUCGGAACCCAGGAGGUUAAAGAUAAUUCUUACACACCUAUAAUUUUAGAACUGCAAAACCACUGAGAAGUAACCACAAAAACUCUAAAUGAAUAAGAGUUCAACUUGUGGGCUAGUGAUGCAUUAUUAUCCCAGAUCCACAGCUUUUCUUAUGCAGACAGUAGCAGUUAUAAAAUGUAAUGAAAGAAGAAUGUGGCUCAAAAAGAAAAACCAUGAAAUAUCUAGGAGUCAGUUAUAAAAUCACUCUGAAGGACCCAGAAAGAAACUCACUGAAGGAAGAUUAUAACCCACCACCAUUCUGGAUCUUCCUUUCAAGUAGCCCUGAAGAUCCAAUCAACUGGGCUCUAAAUCUUUUCUAAUGAACCUCCUCACCCACAAGGGGCUGGCCUUACCCUCCUUUUAUAACAGCCGGACUCCCGCCCUACCACUGGCUUUGGAUGCUCCAGCCUCUGCCUCACAGGGACGCUGCCUCCAUAGAUGUGGGCACAGGAGGGCCUCAACCCCAGAUCUGAAACCCCAGGUCUGAGCAAACCCGAGGCCAUCCGGGACCUCCGUUCCAGGACAAUGAGGCUCCUCCAUGUCUUACUCACCGCUCUCUUGAUCCUCUUCCAGACAGCACUAGGGCGCUCAAUUUUGAAAGACCCUGCCAUCUUCAGGGUGGAAUCUGCCUGAAGCAAGGGAUGCUGAGCUGUGAGCCCUUCAGAGGACCCUGCUGGGCAUUCACCAUUUGCUGCAAAAUAAAGCUGAGCUGAUGGAGGCAGCCCAGCUGAGGAACCCGGAACUUGCGAGGAGUCUCUUCUGAACCAGCCUUGAAGCUGUCUUACCUCCUCAUCUUUGUUGUCUUCUUUUCUCAAGUGAUACCAGGUUGUAGAAUGCUUAAUUUGUGUGAUUCUCACAAAGUGUGUGCCAUGGAAGAAAAGAAAUUGCCUUCAUCACAUGGUAAACACUUCUGCUGUAUGAUGGACUCAUGUUUGAUGGAACUUCCUGAAUAAAGUGAACUGAGGAAUUCACAUUAAUGGAUAAUCCCUGAA
This is a long non-coding RNA of Bubalus bubalis (water buffalo), 1434 nucleotides long. RefSeq lists it as uncharacterized. Lineage: Eukaryota; Metazoa; Chordata; Mammalia; Artiodactyla; Bovidae. The transcript has 6 exons. The record is from RefSeq and is a predicted model, not a curated record.